Brugia malayi is the source of this 74-nucleotide non-coding RNA. Lineage: Eukaryota; Metazoa; Nematoda; Chromadorea; Rhabditida; Onchocercidae. The record is from RefSeq and is a predicted model, not a curated record.
UGGUUCACCCUGUAGAUCCGGGUUUAUCUGACCUAUUUGAAUCAAAAUAAGCUCGUCUCUACAGGCAGGACCUU